UACGGAGGGUGCAAGCGUUAUCCGGAUUCACUGGGUUUAAAGGGUGCGUAGGUGGGUUGGUAAGUCAGUGGUGAAAUCCCCGAGCUUAACUUGGGAACUGCCAUUGAUACUAUCAGUCUUGAAUACCGUGGAGGUCAGCGGAAUAUGUCAUGUAGCGGUGAAAUGCUUAGAUAUGACAUAGAACACCAAUUGCGAAGGCAGCUGGCUACACGAAUAUUGACACUCAGGAACGAAAGCGUGGGGAUCAAACAGG
RNAcentral lists this ribosomal RNA (253 nucleotides) under uncultured bacterium. RNAcentral describes it as "partial 16S ribosomal RNA". It matches the Rfam family "Bacterial small subunit ribosomal RNA", at positions 524 to 776 of the family's 1533-position model. The record is from RNAcentral.